This 460-nucleotide ribosomal RNA is filed under the name uncultured bacterium. RNAcentral's name for it is "bacterial SSU rRNA". It matches the Rfam family "Bacterial small subunit ribosomal RNA", at positions 29 to 524 of the family's 1533-position model. The record is from RNAcentral.
AACGAACGCUGGCGGCAUGCCUAACACAUGCAAGUCGAACGGGAUCCAGGCUUCGGCCUGGUGAGAGUGGCGGACGGGUGAAUAACACGUGGGAACCUGCCUUUUGGUUCGGGAUAACCGCGGGAAACUGCGGCUAAUACCGGAUGCUCCCGAGAGGGGAAAGAUUUAUCGCCAGAAGAGGGGCCCGCGUCCGAUUAGGUAGUUGGUGAGGUAAUGGCUCACCAAGCCGACGAUCGGUAGCUGGUCUGAGAGGAUGAUCAGCCACACUGGGACUGAGAUACGGCCCAGACUCCUACGGGAGGCAGCAGUGGGGAAUAUUGGACAAUGGGGGCAACCCUGAUCCAGCAAUGCCGCGUGAGUGAUGAAGGCCUUAGGGUUGUAAAGCUCUUUUGCCAGGGAAGAUGAUGACUGUACCUGGAGAAUAAGCCCCGGCUAACUUCGUGCCAGCAGCCGCGGUAAU